GUGAACGCUGGCGGUAGGCCUAACACAUGCAAGUCGAACGGCAGCACAGUAAGAGCUUGCUCUUACGGGUGGCGAGUGGCGGACGGGUGAGGAAUACAUCGGAAUCUACUUUUUCGUGGGGGAUAACGUAGGGAAACUUACGCUAAUACCGCAUACGACCUACGGGUGAAAGCAGGGGAUCUUCGGACCUUGCGCGAUUGAAUGAGCCGAUGUCGGAUUAGCUAGUUGGCGGGGUAAAGGCCCACCAAGGCGACGAUCCGUAGCUGGUCUGAGAGGAUGAUCAGCCACACUGGAACUGAGACACGGUCCAGACUCCUACGGGAGGCAGCAGUGGGGAAUAUUGGACAAUGGGCGCAAGCCUGAUCCAGCCAUACCGCGUGGGUGAAGAAGGCCUUCGGGUUGUAAAGCCCUUUUGUUGGGAAAGAAAAGCAGCAGGUUAAUACCCCGCUGUUCUGACGGUACCCAAAGAGUAAGCACCGGCUAACUUCGUG
Molecule: ribosomal RNA, 491 nt
Filed under: uncultured bacterium
Lineage: Bacteria
Description: partial 16S ribosomal RNA
Rfam family: Bacterial small subunit ribosomal RNA
Source: RNAcentral